AUUGAACGCUGGCGGCAGGCCUAACACAUGCAAGUCGAGCGGAUGAAGGGAGCUUGCUCCUGGAUUCAGCGGCGGACGGGUGAGUAAUGCCUAGGAAUCUGCCUGGUAGUGGGGGAUAACGUCCGGAAACGGGCGCUAAUACCGCAUACGUCCUGAGGGAGAAAGUGGGGGAUCUUCGGACCUCACGCUCUCAGAUGAGCCUAGGUCGGAUUAGCUAGUUGGUGGGGUAAAGGCCUACCAAGGCGACGAUCCGUAACUGGUCUGAGAGGAUGAUCAGUCACACUGGAACUGGGACACGGUCCAGACUCCUACGGGAGGCAGCAGUGGGGAAUAUUGGACAAUGGGCGAAAGCCUGAUCCAGACAUGCCGAGUGUGUGAAGAAGGUCUUCGGAUUGUAAAGCACAUUAAGUUGGGAGGAAGGGCAGUAAGUUAAUACCUUGCUGUUUUGACGUUACCAACAGAAUAAGCACCGGCUAACUUCGUG
Molecule: ribosomal RNA, 484 nt
Filed under: uncultured bacterium
Lineage: Bacteria
Description: partial 16S ribosomal RNA
Rfam family: Bacterial small subunit ribosomal RNA
Source: RNAcentral